RNAcentral lists this ribosomal RNA (545 nucleotides) under Alternaria sp. Its description in RNAcentral is "eukaryotic LSU rRNA". The stretch from base 171 to 324 matches the Rfam family "5.8S ribosomal RNA". Lineage: Eukaryota; Fungi; Ascomycota; Dothideomycetes; Pleosporales; Pleosporaceae. The record is from RNAcentral.
CAUUACACAAAUAUGAAGGCGGGCUGGAACCUCUCGGGGUUACAGCCUUGCUGAAUUAUUCACCCUUGUCUUUUGCGUACUUCUUGUUUCCUUGGUGGGUUCGCCCACCACUAGGACAAACAUAAACCUUUUGUAAUUGCAAUCAGCGUCAGUAACAAAUUAAUAAUUACAACUUUCAACAACGGAUCUCUUGGUUCUGGCAUCGAUGAAGAACGCAGCGAAAUGCGAUAAGUAGUGUGAAUUGCAGAAUUCAGUGAAUCAUCGAAUCUUUGAACGCACAUUGCGCCCUUUGGUAUUCCAAAGGGCAUGCCUGUUCGAGCGUCAUUUGUACCCUCAAGCUUUGCUUGGUGUUGGGCGUCUUGUCUCUAGCUUUGCUGGAGACUCGCCUUAAAGUAAUUGGCAGCCGGCCUACUGGUUUCGGAGCGCAGCACAAGUCGCACUCUCUAUCAGCAAAGGUCUAGCAUCCAUUAAGCCUUUUUUUCAACUUUUGACCUCGGAUCAGGUAGGGAUACCCGCUGAACUUAAGCAUAUCAAUAAGCGGAGGA